UGUGUGUGUGUGUGUGUGUGUGUGUGUGUGUGUGUGUGUGUGUUCUCUCUAGAGCUGCCUCAACUCCUGUUAAGGCAAGGACAGUGUAUGCACAGGAUUGCACUGGAGCUGGGGUUCCAGGAAACAGUAAGUGGUCCCCUGUGAGGGCAACAGCUGAGCCGUCUCUGCAGCUCUUGAUCUGCCUUUCAAUGGAGCUCAACAGGUUGACUUUGAAAUUCAACAUUUCACAAGAACCUCUUGUCAUGAAUCCUUGUUUUAAGAAUAGUUCAAACAACACGUUUAUGUUGUUACUGCAUUUUUUUCAUGCCUGCCAUUGAGACCACAUACAGUGCCAUCUAACCAGAAAAAACAAUUUCAUUUUUCAUUAUAGUUCCUUUAUACAUAGAUUACAAGGCUAAACCAAUGUUAAAAGGUGGCUAUUUGACAAAAGCAACUAAGGAAAAAGGAGACCAUGAUUUUGGGAGGGAGCGAUGCGAAGGUUUACUGAAGAGGAAGGGGACAUUAUAUGGUCCUUUAACUUUUACAAAAGAUAAUAAAGCCCCAGAUGGUCUCUGGACACAUUCACCUUCUUAAUCCAGUCACUCAACGUGUCAGAGCCAUGAGAGUAGGACUGUGUGCUUUUACACUGCCAUAGAACUUACCAUUCCUUGGUUAUUUUACAAGUUAUAGCCUCCUACCUUUCAAACUAUUUACCAUAAGCAAAAGAUGUAUUGUUCUUGAUACAAAGACUUCUUUUUCUAAAUUUCUGAGUGUGAAAAAAGACUAGGAAAAGCCAAAUGAGUAUAUUACAUAAACUAGGGUACGAUUGGCCAAUAAUAAAAGUAAAAAGAAACUAUGUGGAAACUGCAGUCCAUCUUCAUUUGAAUUUAAUGCUGAUUUUUUUUUUUAAAAAAGCCUCUUGGAAGAAAUUAUUUUUGAAUAAUUCAGUAUUAAUACACUUAAGCAAAUGCAUGUUUCUGCCAGAAAAUCAAAAGAAAACUUCAAGGGAGAGGAAAACUUUUAUUUGUUCUUUCUACCGUACCUCAACUAUGACCUCACAUAACCUAAAAAGCUGCCUCAGAGGCUCUAGAGGGAAGAGCCCCCCAAUGUACCCAGACCAGUUGUUACUCUGAGCAUGAGAAGUCGUUUUCUUCCUGUUAUCAGAAGAGCUGGCGCUUGUGUGUCCAGCCCUCAAUAUGACUGCUUGUGCUUUGGGGACAAAGGGGUCUUUGCACUCUUAUUUAUGGCUUCUUCGUAUUUCCCUACAAUAACCCCAUUCAGAGAAAUAAGGGCAUAUUUGUUUUCGUCAUUCCAUGUAAGCGCGCUCUGAAAGGCAAGAUAACUGCUGGAAAAAUCUACACAGAUUACUGGAAUGCAGAGCUGAGCCGUUCUUUAAGGAACUUGUUGAGGCAGACUUCAGACCCCAGCGAGGGCCUCGUGGGGACCUGCAGUAGGACCAACUGGGGACUCCAGAGUGGACACUUCAUCCCUCAGGAGGCACCGGAGAUAUGGUUCUGCCAUUAAGAGCACUGGCUGUUCUUCCAGAGGACCCAGGUUCAAUUCCCAGCACCUAUAAGGCAGCUCACAAGCAUCUAUAACACCAGUUCCAGGGGAUCUUGUGUCCUCUUCCAGUCUCCACGGACAUUGGGCACACGUGUGGUAAACAGACCCCUGCGAACGAUCAAAGAUGGAGAAAUGAGCAGUCCUCAAGCAACAACGCCCUCCUAAUGCGCAAGCGCGCCCGGAGGCCCCGCCCCUCGCGGUCACCCCAAGACCAGGCGCGCGCAUCGGAAGUCAGAACCUCCAAGGCUCCUCCUUGCUCUUCCUCCACAAGGCCCCGCGUUCGCAGUCCGGUUCCGGUUGUAGCUCCGCCCUCGCGCGGGAACACGCCAGAAGGCUGGAUAUCCGGGACGGGAGGCUAGCUGAGCGCUCACUUCCGGUGGCAGCUCGUCCCAUCUCCCUUGAGGGGCAGGCUCUGGCUCUCGGUGCGGUAGCGCCAUCUGGCGCCGAGUGUUCCUCAGCCCGCGGAGGGGCGUGCUUCCUCCCUUCAGAACAUUCCAGAGACUCCUCGGCUCUGGUAGGCUUUAUGCAUUCCGCCAGAAGGGCGGGACCCAAGACUCCUCCUCUGCCGAGUUCCCGCGCGGGAAGGGUUUUGUGGUUACUCUGAGCGGAAAUGGUUGGAGUCCAGAAGGGGAACGGACCUCAAGCGGGAGGAAGCCGGCCUCUUUCCGUCUUUUCAAGCCAUAGUAACACAGUUCCUGCCUCCUCGUGUUCUGCUUUUUGUUUCCUCAUUUCUGGGCCGCGCUCUCUGUACACUGCGCUUCGGUUCUUCGGUCGGAGUGGACCGAGGUCCUCCAUUUCUCGUUUUGCAGAGAGAAGGCUUUACUUUGUAGCCUUUCGUUAGCUUGUGUUAGAAAAAUAUUUUGCUCCAUUACAUCCGUUAAGCGGGUGUUGCGAAAACGAGCAGUAUUAGGGAUUAGGAAAAUUAAUAGGUUUUUAAACCAAGACAGUCUCAGCAGGUUUAUCUCAGAACUAUGAAAUAUUCGCUAUGAUUGCAUGUGGUUCUUUCCUUUAGAUAAGGGGAAACGAAUUUCCACCAAAGCUAGAAAGUGAACAUAACUGUUAAAGGGUUCAUGUUUCAAAGUCCAGAUAUAAUAAACUUGGAGCACUGUUAGGUAUUGUUUCAGUUAUUGUGUAUCAAGACGCACAGUGUAAGUUAGUGAAUUGUCCCUUAUUUGUGCUCACUUGUCACUGGGCAUUUUCCCCCCCUACAGCACUGGUUUCCCUACUUGUGCAUGCAUUUGAAUUCAGAAGACUUUGAAGAGUCCGGUUCACUACAGUUUAGGACUGGGAGAGGUGAUGUGGAAGGAGAGCUGGGUGAUUAAGGCCCACAGUUGGAAUCGUUUAGAAUUCAAGAUUGCUUUGUUGAGAGCGCUGUUUGCUGGUUUUGCAGUAUUGACACUGAAACCCGACAGGUUAGUAGCCUUUCCGGCCAGUGCAAUGGGAGUAAACGAAGCGCUAAAUCCAUGUCUUUUGUACAGUCACACAUUAGGAAAACACGUUCAUAUAAGUAGACUCUGUCGUAGAGGGUGCUGUAACACCAGGUAUACUAAAUUUCUUAAUUACGAUGCCAUUUCUGUCUUCAAAGUUUCUUGAAAAUCGGUAACUCAAAAAAGGACAAAAAUCACUUCAACAGACAUUUAACCUCCUGGAAGAUAAUCUUUUAAAAAUCCCUUUCCUUUUGUAACUUCUUUGUAGUUCAUUCUUUUCACUGAGUCAUUGCCCCUUACCCCUACUAUGUAAUUUAAAAUCUUCACGCUGCUUUCGGUUUUUUUUUGUUUGUUUGGUUGGUUUUUUUUUGUUUUGUUUUGUUUUUUAAGAGCAAGCUUCCUGAAGCCUUUGUAUUCUGAGUUUGACAGUGGCAUUUGACCCUAAGCUAUCGGUAAAUGCCUUACUCUCGGUAACCCUUCCUUUUGUACCCAAUAGAAAUACAGCUGUUCAUAGAUAGGCUUGCCGUGUUCGUAGCUAAAGUUAUUCCUAAAAGUAAUUUUUUAAUACUAAAAAGUUAAGUUGUUUACUGAAGUUGUGAGUGAUUACUAUAAAGAUUAUAUUGCCUUUAAUUACAAGAUAGUGUAUCUAACUGUGAAGAUAAGUGAAAUGGUAUUUUUAUAAUGACUCAGUAAGACUUCCAUUACCAGGCACUAGUGAGAUGGCUCGGGGGUUAAGUCUGGCUCCAGGCAUGCACACGGUACACAGACAUACAUAAAAUAAUAAUACACAUAAACUGCGUAUACAAAAAUAAUAAUAAAUAAAAUAGGAUAUUCUAACUCCAUUGUUUUUAGUGAUUAAACAUGAGAAAAUUCCAAAUCAGAGAUCCCUCCCCGCCUUCCUCCCUCUCCCUCCUUUUUAAUCCUUCUCUCUCUUCUUCCUCACUAACCUGAAUGAGUUUCCAUUUAAAGGGACAUAGGGAGGUAGCAGGGUGCCUUCAAAUAACUGUUAACAAGUAUUUAUACUAAUGAGACAAAAGCACACAUCCUCCUCUUCAUUUUAAACCAGCCUUGUAGUAAAAAAGGAACCCGUGUGUGUUCAUUACUUGCUCCUAUGUGCACACGUGUGUGUCACUUGCUGUGUUUAAAGAGCUUAAUACAUUUGCUGGCUGGUACUUCUCUACGAUGGCUGCGCCAUUGCCAUUUAUCCAGAGUAAUUUUGUCAAUAGGCAUUACAUGAAAUGAUGUUGAAAUUUACUUUCAAUAUUGUUUGGUAAUACUUGACACAAAAAAUCAGGGCUUCUUCAUCAGGCUUUUUUUGAACUGAAAUUUCUAGGCUAGGUCAGGUGGAGCACAUCUGCAGUCUGAGCCCUCAGGAGAUGCAGGGGAUCCAGUUUCCAAAAGCAGUUUUAAAAAGUAAUUUCUAUUACUAAUUUCUUUGUGGUUCCAUUUUCUUUAGUUCAUGCUUCUUAAAUUUUCUGAUAUAUAAAUGAAUGUGUAAUGAAUAUCUGUACAAAAAAGCAUUUUUUAAAGGAAAAAAAAGAGAAAAGCAUAUUCACGAAUGUUUUAAUGAUUCUUUGCUACAGUCAGUGUGCUGUGUAGCUGUUUAAAUUUUCCUUUUCGGGGCAAUGCCUGCAUUUGUGCGUGACUCACAGCAUGCACCAACUUUUUUCCCUGAAAUUCUCAUCAUUUUUCUUGUUACUUCCAGUGGACUCUGCAGACUUCACACUGUCUAAUAAUGUGUUCUCAGACUCUCUAGUCUUUUGUCUUGGUCCAUUUUAAAAUCUCAUCGAAGUUGUCGUUUCAAGCUGGUUUUUGGAAAUAAAUUAGAAUUAAUACUGCUGAGUUCAUCUUAAUGGCUCAUAUUCCCCUGUGGUGAAUUAAAUUUAUUGUUGCGUUUUCAGAAUGAUUUUUCUUACUCAUGAUCAGUAGGAGACCAUACGCUGAGUUACCUGAUCUAAUUGGGCUUAGGAGUAAAGUACAGCCUUUUUAGGGGGAGGUGUGGAGGCCAGCCUUGAACCUGUGAUUCUGCUGUCUCAGCCUCUUGAAUGCUGGGAUUCCAGGCCUGUGCCCACAAAGUGAGAACACUGAGGCAGAUGGUACAGUUUUCUGUUUGGUGAUUAUUACAUUUUAAGAUUUCCAAACUUUAUAUGGAAAAAUUAUCACAUGUAUUUUAUAAAGUAUUAAACUGUAUCCCUCUGCUAGAUUCAGCAGUGGCACAUGCAAGGCUGCCAUAGUCUAAUUCCCAGAGCUGUGACAAACAUCAUAACAGAAGCAGCUUGGGGAGGAGAGGGUCUAUUUUAUCUCACACUUCUCUGUCGCUCCUUGAACCAUCAUUAGACCCAUGCAUGUGUAGGUAACAGUUAACCACAUUAAACUCCACAGGAGCCCAGGAGAUGACUCAGUGGUUAAUUCACAAGGACUGGAGCUUGGAUCCUCAGGCCCCGCAUAGAGGCUGUGGGCGUGGUGACCCACCUGCAGUUCUAGCCUGGGAAGGUGAAGAACGGACCUCAAAACAAGUUGUCUAGGGAGUCCAGCCAUUCAGUGAACUCUGUCUUGGACUGAGAGAUCUGCCUUACUGAACAAGGAAGAAGAAUGAAGAGUACACCCACAUACACACUCACACAUGUGCUUACACACAGAUAGAUGUGUGUAUGCACACAUGCAAAGUACACAUAAUAAAAAUGGGAAAAUACACAGUUCAUCUCUUACAGAUGGGCAAUCAGAGUAGAGUGAAAAAUUACCCAUCAUGGAGGGCCAAUGAAUAAACGACCACAGAUAGAAACUUAAUGGGGACCCUGAAAGAAGAGAGAGAGAAGUAGGACUUUGAAGACAUGAUGAUCAUUAAAACUUCUGGAGCAUAUACUAAAUCUGUUUCUACAUCUUUGGCCUUAACCAAUGAGAAGAGAAUCACACUCACUCUAGCAGGGGCAGUGUGAAGUGUAAGGAAACCUUUGCAACAUCUGUGAGUUACGUUACAGCGUUAAAGCCAGAGAUAAGCCAUCAACUUGCUUCUGCUAACAGCAAUGCUUACGAGAUAUAAUGGCCUUCAGAUUCCUUCACAGCAUUAGUGAAAUUCUGUGGGAAAUCAUGAGAAAUUGUUUCAAAUUGUCAAAAACCACUCCAAAUUUAGCAGUACUUUAAAUAUCCAAAACAUCAAUGUUUUGAGGAGAAAGGGAAUAAAUUUUCUAUAAGCUGUAUUAGACAUUGAACCAUACAAUAUUUUGCUUUGUUUCCUUUGAGAAAAUGUCUUACUGUUGUAGCCCAGGCUGGCCCAAGCUCCAGAGUCUUCUGCCUCUACCUAGAGAAUGCUGAUAUGGUAGAUUUACAUCCAUCAUCUUCUGGCUUGGAACUUUACUGUCCUAAAACGUUUUAAUUAGCCAUUAAAUGCACGUUGUUUUUUGUGGUACAA
Molecule: small RNA, 6378 nt
Filed under: Rattus norvegicus (Norway rat)
Lineage: Eukaryota; Metazoa; Chordata; Mammalia; Rodentia; Muridae
Description: uncharacterized LOC102549089
Source: RNAcentral